This 497-nucleotide ribosomal RNA is filed under the name uncultured bacterium. RNAcentral's name for it is "partial 16S ribosomal RNA". It matches the Rfam family "Bacterial small subunit ribosomal RNA", at positions 28 to 507 of the family's 1533-position model. The record is from RNAcentral.
GAUGAACGCUGGCGGCGUGCCUAAUACAUGCAAGUCGAGCGAACAGACGAGGAGCUUGCUCCUCUGACGUUAGCGGCGGACGGGUGAGUAACACGUGGAUAACCUACCUAUAAGACUGGGAUAACUUCGGGAAACCGGAGCUAAUACCGGAUAAUAUAUUGAACCGCAUGGUUCAAUAGUGAAAGACGGUUUUGCUGCCACUUAUAGAUGGAUCCGCGCCGCAUUAGCUAGUUGGUAAGGUAACGGCUUACCAAGGCAACGAUGCGUAGCCGACCUGAGAGGGUGAUCGGUCACACUGGAACUGAGACACGGUCCAGACUCCUACGGGAGGCAGCAGUAGGGAAUCUUCCGCAAAGGGCGAAAGCCUGACGGAGCAACGCCGCGUGAGUGAUGAAGGUCUUCGGAUCGUAAAACUCUGUUAUUAGGGAAGAACAAAUGUGUAAGUAACUAUGCACGUCUUGACGGUACCUAAUCAGAAAGCCACGGCUAACUACGUG